This is a transfer RNA of Phytophthora infestans T30-4, 71 nucleotides long. It matches the Rfam family "tRNA". From Rfam's summary of the family: Transfer RNA (tRNA) molecules are approximately 80 nucleotides in length. The record is from Rfam. Lineage: Eukaryota; Oomycota; Peronosporomycetes; Peronosporales; Peronosporaceae.
GCGCCGUUGGUUUAAUGGUAAAAUAUCUCGUUGCCAACUAGAUGGGGCGGGUUCGAUUGCCGGACAGCGCA